AAACUCCGUGCGGGAGAGCUCCCGGCUGGUGCGUGCACCGACCGGGACGCCGAAGGGGCAUUUCCUCCCACCAACCUCUCAGGCCACAGGACCGCACGGGCUGG
RNAcentral lists this non-coding RNA (104 nucleotides) under Nocardioides scoriae. Its description in RNAcentral is "Marmoricola scoriae Glycine sequence". It matches the Rfam family "Glycine riboswitch aptamer". Rfam says of the family: This family represents the bacterial glycine riboswitch. The record is from RNAcentral. Lineage: Bacteria; Bacillati; Actinomycetota; Actinomycetes; Propionibacteriales; Nocardioidaceae.